AUGUGUCUUUUAGUUUAUUUUUUGGAGGUGGAGCGCAGCUGAUUUCCUUAGAGGCAGGACUUUCUCACUUACAUGUGUGAGCAAAUAACCCUGCCUGUAAGUGUUCUCUAUAUCAAGGGCUGUCUGCAGACUCCAUAUACAUUCAUGGGAGCUCCUCUCUAAGCCUUCUCUCCUCUGAUUAAACCCAGCACACAAGUCUUCUUUUUCAGAAAUGCAUCUGUGGCAGCCUGCAAUCAUUUAUUCUGUUAUUUUUGGGUUUUCCAAGGCUGAUAAAGUCUCCCAGCAUUCCUUUGUGUCAGUUCAGAAUGGGGAAAAGGUCACUUUAAACUGUACAUAUGAAACAGCAUCCAGCGAGCCAUCCCUGCACUGGUAUAUCCAACGGCCGGGAGUGAGACCUCACUUUAUCCUACUCAGGCGUCAGUUCAGCAAGGAAGAGGAUGAACCUGGUGGAAAGUAUUCAUCAAAAGUGAACAAGGAGAGCAAAUCCAUUGAUCUGAGGAUCUCUGGUGUCAGUGUGUCUGACUCUGGGCUGUAUUAUUGUGCUGUGAGUUCCACAGUGUCUCUCUCUGCUGCCUCCUCUGUACAAGAAGCUCUGGUGCUCUCCAUGGUGCUGUUAUAAAUGACUCUAUAUAUAUGUAUGUGUCUAUGCAGCACUUAAUAGACAGCAAAUCAAGAGACAGUUUUUAUGUUUUUCACCUCCUAAGAGUAGGACAUCUUUUGUGAAACACACACACGAGUAAAUAGCUUGAAACAUUAAUUUUCUAAAGAAAUGGGUGAUGCAUGAUAAAAUUAAAUUACAUAACAGCAUAAUGCUGUUCAUUAGCACUUUUUAUAAAUGCAAAACAAUAUAUACACAAAAAAUUUCAACUUCUAAUAAAUCUGCUCAUACUUGUAGAACAAUAAAAACUGACAGAAUCCACUCCAAAGGGAGUUAAUAUUGGUUUCUUACAUUUUCUGUGUCUGUAAUACCAAUG
Xenopus laevis (African clawed frog) is the source of this 974-nucleotide non-coding RNA. Lineage: Eukaryota; Metazoa; Chordata; Amphibia; Anura; Pipidae. The record is from the annotation of a RefSeq genome assembly.